This 253-nucleotide ribosomal RNA is filed under the name uncultured bacterium. RNAcentral describes it as "partial 16S ribosomal RNA". It matches the Rfam family "Bacterial small subunit ribosomal RNA", at positions 524 to 776 of the family's 1533-position model. The record is from RNAcentral.
UACAGAGGGGGCAAGCGUUGUUCGGAAUUACUGGGCGUAAAGGGCGCGUAGGCGGCCUGCUAAGUCGAACGUGAAAUCCCCGAGCUCAACUCGGGAACUGCGUCCGAUACUGGCAGGCUUGAAUCCGGGAGAGGGAUGUAGAAUUCCAGGUGUAGCGGUGAAAUGCGUAGAUAUCUGGAGGAAUACCGGUGGCGAAGGCGGCAUCCUGGACCAUUACUGACGCUGAGGCGCGAAAGCUAGGGGAGCAAACGGG